AUUAAAUUGGCAGAUGAAUGCAUUAAAUUUAGAAUUUAAUUAUGUAUAAUAUUACAUUUAAUA
This 63-nucleotide transfer RNA is filed under the name Cypridopsis vidua. RNAcentral describes it as "tRNA-Leu". The record is from RNAcentral. Lineage: Eukaryota; Metazoa; Arthropoda; Ostracoda; Podocopida; Cyprididae.